This 253-nucleotide ribosomal RNA is filed under the name uncultured bacterium. Its description in RNAcentral is "partial 16S ribosomal RNA". It matches the Rfam family "Bacterial small subunit ribosomal RNA", at positions 524 to 776 of the family's 1533-position model. The record is from RNAcentral.
UACGUAGGCAGCGAGCGUUGUCCGGAGUUACUGGGCGUAAAGGGUGUGUAGGCGGCUGUUUAAGUUUGGUGUGAAAUCUCCCGGCUUAACUGGGAGGGUGCAGCGGAAACUAGAAUGCUAGAGGGUGGGAGAGGUAAGCGGAAUUCCUGGUGUAGCGGUGAAAUGCGUAGAUAUCAGGAGGAACACCUGUGGUGUAGACAGCUUACUGGACCACUUCUGACGCUGAGACACGAAAGCGUGGGUAGCAAACAGG